CAGGCUGCAACUCGCCUGCAUGAAGUUGGAAUUGCUAGUAAUCGCGAAUCAGAAUGUCGCGGUGAAUACGUUCCCGGGCCUUGUACACACCGCCCGUCACACCAUGAGAGUCGAUAACACCCGAAGCCUGUGAGCUAACCGCAAGGAGGCAGCAGUCGAAGGUGGGGUUGAUGAUUGGGGUGAAGUCGUAACAAGGUAUC
This 200-nucleotide ribosomal RNA is filed under the name uncultured bacterium. Its description in RNAcentral is "partial 16S ribosomal RNA". It matches the Rfam family "Bacterial small subunit ribosomal RNA", at positions 1301 to 1500 of the family's 1533-position model. The record is from RNAcentral.